This is a long non-coding RNA of Humulus lupulus (European hop), 1424 nucleotides long. RefSeq lists it as uncharacterized. The record is from RefSeq and is a predicted model, not a curated record. NCBI's taxonomy places the organism in Eukaryota, Viridiplantae, Streptophyta, Magnoliopsida, Rosales, Cannabaceae. The transcript has 5 exons.
GUUUUAGCUCUCUGCCAUUUCCGAGUUACAGAGCUUCGAAGCAGAUUGAAGCUCCUCUGCUCCAAUGGGCCCAAAGAAAGGUGGGAAGGCUCCAGUUGCAGCAAAGAAGAAGCAGGAGAAGGUAGUUAACGCCCUUUUUGAGAAAAGUCCCAGGCCAUUUGGGAUAGUAGGUGCAUUGCCACCAAAGAGGGAUCUUACCUGAUUCGUGAAAUGGCCUAAGGAAGUUCAAACACAGAGGAAGAGGAGGAUCCUCAAGCAGAGGUUGAAGGUUCCACCGAAUUUGAACCAUUUCACCAAGACCCUUGACAAGAACCUCGAUGUAUACAUGCAUACUUUAAAAUACAAACUAUGCAUAAUGCAUGUACACAGUACACUCGAGCAGCAACCAGCCUGUUUAAGAUGCUUCUUAAGUACAGACCGGAGGAUAAACCUGAAAAGAAAGAGCGUCUCCUGAAGAGAGCCCAGGCAGAGGCUGAGGGAAAAACUAUUGAAUCUAAGAAGCCUAUUGUUGUGAAAUAUGGUUUGAACCAUGUGACCUAUCUUAUUGAACAGAACAAGGCCCAACUUGUAGUUAUUGCUCACGAUGUUGACCCCAUGUAAUUGGUAGAUUGGCUCCCAGCAUUGUGUAGGAAGAUGGAAAUUCCCAACUGCAUCGUGAAAGGAAAAGCAAGGCUUGGAUCGGUAAUUACACUCAUACUAACCCUAUAUACAUGUAUUCCAUUCCUGUUUAGUCAGAUUGAUGGACUUGAAAAGAAGACCUUGUUGAGCUUGGCAUGGUCCGACUUUGUGAAAUGACUCGAGAGGUAUAGUAUAACUAGAAGCCGGAAAAGGCAAAAGUGAAAUACCACUACUUAACGUUAUUUUACUUAUUUUGUGAAUUGGAGGCGGGGCACUGCCCCUCUUUUUGGACCCAAGGUGCUUGACAACAGUCAAGAAUGAGGACAAAUUGGAAUUCAGCAAAAUCUUAGAGGCGGCCAAGGUAAUUAGAUACGAUGCCACGAUAUGAUCUUAGAACAUAAUUUUUGUUUUGGUUGCACAUUAGUUUUGUGUAGUUUGUUUUGGCAAUCUCAGGCCAACUUCAAUGACAAAUACGACGAGCACAGGAAGACUGGUGGGAUUAUGGGUUCAAAAUCUCAGGCCAAGACCAAGGUGAAAGAGAGGGUCCUGGCUAAGGAAGCCACACAAAGAAUGAAUUAGAAAAUUUUGAUGUUAUAUGUACUUUUCACAUUUUAGAUUUUGACUAAUUCUUAAUUUAAAUCAGAUAAAACUCCAGAGAGAGGAUUUUGUUUUCUUUUGAUGUUUGAACUAGAAAUGGUGUUUGAUAGCUCUGUCAUAUUUUGCCCUGAAAUUGUAGAAAAUAACAAAUGAAUAAUAUGUACUAUUUGAAGGCAAUUAAUUGAUCAUUAGUGUUGAAAAAGGAAAAC